Molecule: non-coding RNA, 191 nt
Filed under: Phormidium tenue
Lineage: Bacteria; Bacillati; Cyanobacteriota; Cyanophyceae; Oscillatoriales; Oscillatoriaceae
Also listed under: 1 other name
Source: RNAcentral
UUAGGAUGCAGCUCUGUCGGUUUUAGCGGGGGUCAGCCGCUGAAGGAAACGGGGAAAGCGCAGCGAAAAUCUGCCACUGUCCCGCAGCUGUGAGGCGAUUUUAGAAUUCGGAUUUUGGAUUGACAUCUCUCCAACGUCUAGAAACUUAAAAUUCUCCAAGUCAGAAUGCCCGCCGAUGGACGCCCACUGUU